CUCGUAGGUGGCCAACUAAGUCAGACGUGAAAUCCCUCAGCUUAACUGGGGAACUGCGUCUGAUACUGGAUGGCUUGAGAUUGGGAGAGGGAUGCGGAAUUCCAGGUGUAGCGGUGAAAUGCGUAGAUAUCUGGAGGAACACCGGUGGCGAAGGCGGCAUCCUGGACCAACACUGACACUGAGGAGCGAAAGACCGAGGGGAGACAAAC
Molecule: ribosomal RNA, 209 nt
Filed under: uncultured bacterium
Lineage: Bacteria
Description: partial 16S ribosomal RNA
Rfam family: Bacterial small subunit ribosomal RNA
Source: RNAcentral